Molecule: long non-coding RNA, 689 nt
Organism: Ooceraea biroi (clonal raider ant)
Lineage: Eukaryota; Metazoa; Arthropoda; Insecta; Hymenoptera; Formicidae
Source: RefSeq, a predicted model, not a curated record
UUGUAAUAACGUGGACCUGUACGGACGUAUUCUUCUUCCGCAAUUUUCUACUUAUUACGAGGAGAAAGAGAGAGAGAGAGAGAGAGAGAGAGAGAGAGAGAGAGAUUUGAGGUCAGAUUGUUGAAAUAUACUUACAACGGACGAGAUGAGUCAACGAGGACGAGAGACAGGAAGGGAAGCAGACAAGACAAGGAAAGCGUUGCAGUUUCUGAGUACGGAUAUUUCAAAAUAUCGCACAUCUCACAAUCAAUUACGACGAAGAGACAUACAAAACAUAUACAAAAACACAUGUCACAAAACACGACUACAUCUACAACUACACAAAAACAGACAGCACCAUAUUAUUCACAAUCCCUAGUAUCAUCAUCCCUACAUACUCUAUCAUCACUCGCAUCUACACAAUCGCAUGAACAUAUGACCCCUCCACCAGCACCAUUACAGCAUAGACUUAUCUCAUCACAUUCACAUUCAACAGCCACCCAAUAAUUCACACGCAAUAUUUCUUCAGCAUCAAAAUCAUCAUUACAAACAUCACGCAAACAAACAUCAUUAAAUUUGUCCUUAUCAACCACAAAAUCAUUCUCACAAAACAUUCAUCCACCCUCAAAACCAUCACACAUAAACAGAUAUUAUCACGAUCACCACUAUCACCUGUACAACGCCGUCACCCAUCACCCGUCAGACAAGAA